ACGGCCGCAUCACGUUGAAACACCGGUUCCCGUAAGAUCACCGAAGUUAAGCAACGUCGUACCUGGCCAGUACCUAGAUGCAUGGGAAUACCAGGUGCUGUUAG
Non-coding RNA from Acanthosepion pharaonis, 104 nucleotides. NCBI's taxonomy places the organism in Eukaryota, Metazoa, Mollusca, Cephalopoda, Sepiida, Sepiidae. The record is from the annotation of a GenBank genome assembly.